GACUCGGUGGCGAACGGUGGGCUCCGACUCCAGAUCAGAAGGUUGCGUGUUCGAAUCACGUCCGGGUCA
Molecule: non-coding RNA, 69 nt
Organism: Trichonephila inaurata madagascariensis
Lineage: Eukaryota; Metazoa; Arthropoda; Arachnida; Araneae; Nephilidae
Source: the annotation of a GenBank genome assembly